This is a long non-coding RNA of Canis lupus familiaris (dog), 1132 nucleotides long. RefSeq lists it as uncharacterized. Lineage: Eukaryota; Metazoa; Chordata; Mammalia; Carnivora; Canidae. The record is from RefSeq and is a predicted model, not a curated record. The transcript is spliced from 5 exons.
CAGAGCCUUGUGCAUCACAGUAGGGACUCUGGCUUCUGCUCCUAGUGAGGUGUUGAAGGGUUUUGACCAGAGGGAGGACAGGCCCAGCUUCAUACUUCUAUAGGAUCUCCCUGGCAGUGAGAUGUAGAAUCAAUGGAACAGGAGAGAGGGCUGAAGCAGGGAGACCAGGAAUAUACACCGAUUUUUAGGAAUAACAGGAAUCAUUUCUGCAACUUACUGUAAAAGAAUUCAGGAGGAAAGGAGAAAGGAGAGAGAAUGAUAAAGCAAAAAUGGAAGAAAGGGCCUCAGCUGAGCGUGAGAAUAGGGGAGAAGGUGAAGGACGUUUGAGAUGAGAAGGGAUUGUCUGGGGAGACAGAGUGACCAAGGGAACCACUGAUUGUCAGGCAGCAUUGGAAGACUCCACGGAGGCUAGCCAUCAUCUGGAGUCCAGCGCAGGGAAACUGAGGCAGCAUUUCUGAGCACAGCACCCCCCAGCCGUCCUGGCCUACGGAUGACUUUCAGACACUUCUGCCCUAUUUUAUUUAUUCAUGAGAGACACAGAGAGAGAGAAGCAGAGACAUAAGCAGGCUCCCCACAAGAAGCCUGAUGUGGACUCGAUCCUGGGACUUCGGGAUCACAUCCUGAGCCAAAGGCAGGUGCUCAAUCGCUGAGCCACCCAGGUGUCCCAGCAGGAUGCCUUUUGAGGGGCCAUCACUCCUGACCCCGUGACUGUCCUGCAGAGGAACCCUGGGCUGACCCCUGUGGGAGCUAGUUUUCCUCUUAGCAGUUGCAAUGCUUUCCUUUUCUCAAAUGGCAUUCAUAAAUGACAUAACCUACGGACACACAAAAUUUUAAAUAAAUCAUACCCUGAUUGUAAUAUAAAAGAAAAUAAAAAGAAAAUAUUUUAGAAUAAAUUAAUAGGUAAAUAUUCAGGCACAAUACAUUAAAAAAAAUCACAUGGCUGAGGAUGGAAUCUCCUUGAUUCUGGGGGCUGAAUCAGGAGCUCUGGCAACUCAAAUACCAAGACUGCAUGACAGUCCAAAAUGUUUCAUAGUUCUAGGUAAAGUUCGGAACCAAAACAACCUGGCCUAUUCCCAAUGUAUGUGGAGGUCGCUUUCCUGGCAGAUUCACUGUGUAUUAAAGCCAAGCAAAU